ACCCAGACUCCUACGGGAGGCAGCAGUGAGGAAUAUUGGUCAAUGGGCUUACGCCUGAACCAGCCAAGUCGCGUGAGGGAAGACUGCCCUAUGGGUUGUAAACCUCUUUUGUCAGGGAGCAACGCCGGCUACGUGUAGCCGGACUGAGAGUACCUGAAGAAAAAGCAUCGGCUAACUCCGUGCCAGCAGCCGCGGUAAUACGGAGGAUGCGAGCGUUAUCCGGAUUUAUUGGGUUUAAAGGGUGCGUAGGCGGAACAUUAAGUCAGCGGUAAAAUCGAGGGGCUCAACCCCUUUAAGCCGUUGAAACUGGUGAUCUUGAGUGGGCGAGAAGUAUGCGGAAUGCGUGGUGUAGCGGUGAAAUGCAUAGAUAUCAGGAGGAACACCGGUGGCGAAGGCGGCCUGCUGGACUGCAACUGACGUUGAGGCCCGAAAGCGUGGGGAGCAAACAGGAUUAGAUACCCUCGUAAUA
This 469-nucleotide ribosomal RNA is filed under the name uncultured bacterium. RNAcentral's name for it is "bacterial SSU rRNA". It matches the Rfam family "Bacterial small subunit ribosomal RNA", at positions 329 to 795 of the family's 1533-position model. The record is from RNAcentral.